RNAcentral lists this transfer RNA (63 nucleotides) under Rhinocola aceris. RNAcentral describes it as "tRNA-Asp". Lineage: Eukaryota; Metazoa; Arthropoda; Insecta; Hemiptera; Aphalaridae. The record is from RNAcentral.
AAAGAAACUAGUUAACUAAUAUAAUAUUGAUUUGUCAAUUCAAAGUAAUUUUUGUGUUUCUUU